UGUUUACAUCUAAUUGGACAGAGGUGAAUCCGCACUGACAGUGGUUAGUGUCGACGUCUGGUGGCGACUUUCAAUUUGGGACAAAACUCGAUAGUGUAAUCUAUAUCAGAUUAGAAGGCACGAAGCCAGUUUUGAAAUAAUAAAAUUUGAAUGAAAAUUUGUACACCAUGUUAAUUAAUUACUUGAAACACGUAUUUUUGAUUCUUAUUUAAUCGAUUGUCUAUACACUUCUGAUAUUUUGACUGAAGCCUUUCAUUAUAUAUAAUAUAAAAUUGUUCUCAAACACGAUUUUCGUAUGAGGUUUUUUUACCCCAUGUAAAAAAAGUGUAUUUCAUUUAAAUAGAAUACUAAUUUGAUACGAAUAAGUUAAUUUUUAUUCAUAAUUUUAAUUUUGAAAACGUGUUCAUUCCGCCUGAAAAUUAAUUACUAUCUUGGACGCUCCCAAAAUCAUGAAACGAAGCUCAGUGCCGUCAACGCGAAUAUCAACAAACACAGCACAAACGAAAAACAGAAUGUGAAAAACAAGUUAGAACCAAUCAAUCAAAUCAAGAAAAACAUCAAAAUGGACUCAGAAUAACAUUUUGAUAAAUCGUGGUGAGAGUGUUCUACAAGUGGCUGACGAAACGGGUCUUCCACGGUCGACAGUUUACGGAAUCGAGAAGCAAAAAAUAGCAUUGCGGUAUUGCAAGGCGUUGGUCAACUAAACUAUCCCCUGAUUUCGAGAUAAUAAUAGGAAAUAUAAAGGUAGAGAAACCAGAUGCCGAAAUCGACACAACUAUCGUUAAGGAAGAAUAUGAUGUAAAACUUAAAAAUACGAAUGCAAUCACUCAGCCCAUGGCGCCGAAGAAAUUAACCAAGAACAUUCAUAAACUUAUCAAAAAAGCAUCAAAACACAAAUCUUAUUUACGAUAUGGAUUAAAGGAUGUUCAAGUGCGUCCGCGGAAUAAUGAAACAGGGAAAGCAAUGUGUAUAUUGAUUGUCAUUUUCGCUGCAGAAAAGUGGAAAUCAUGUGUCACUUGCCAUCUGUUUGUGAGAAACGCAAUAUCCCAUAUUGCUAUACGCCGAGUCGGAAGACUUGGGAGCAGCAGUGGGUGUGAAAUGAGGCACAGUCGCAAUACUAAUCCGAGAGCAGCCCGAUUAUCAGGAACAGUGCGAUAAACUAAAAGUGAAGAAUCAAUGCCGUCAACACGAAUAUACCAUUGUGCGAGUUUUUACAACACGAUAAAUUUUUAGGAGUAUUUUCAACCAUUUUUCCAAUCAAAACAAUUUAUGGUGUUACAAUCAAUCAUUUUGUAUUUUUGUUAUCAUGCCAUAUACUUAAUUAAAAUUCACUAUUGUUAUUCGUCAAGAAGGCGAAUAAUUUCAUUUUCAUAUUCGUUUUUUCAUUUUUUGGCUUCCACUAAUUUACGGUCAUCACCAACAGCAAUAAGAACAUUUUUGAGUACAUCCAUGAUGCUGAUAGCCUACUUAUAAUCAUUGCGUUUUUCGGAUUGACUGCUCCAAGAGUACAUAUAACCGAAGUACUAAGAUCACCCUCAGCACUUUCGUUAGCAUCGCAAUCUUGCUCUUCAUGGUCGGCCUCGAAAAAGUCACCACCAGAGGCUUGGCCAAUUGCUCGUCGGUAUAUAUUUGCGCUACAUCUAUGUUGUCUGAGUUGCUUAGCCACUCUUGAACUUCUUCUUCGGUCAGUUCGUAGUUUGGAUCAACGAGUUGCACUACUUUAGAAAGCAACACGCGGGGGUCACUUGUUGGUGAAGAAAUUGUGAAAUCCUUGAACGAGUUAUAGUUUUGAUCUUGACUUAAGAGAUUGCGCCAACAGUUAGCAAUCGUUUCUGGAGUUACAGUGGCCCACGCAUCAGUCGCUAGUUGAAUAGCAUCAUAAAGGCUAAAUGAUUUGAUAACUUCUGUAACUGGGCGAU
Molecule: long non-coding RNA, 1919 nt
Organism: Toxorhynchites rutilus septentrionalis
Lineage: Eukaryota; Metazoa; Arthropoda; Insecta; Diptera; Culicidae
Exons: 3
Source: RefSeq, a predicted model, not a curated record